Molecule: long non-coding RNA, 150 nt
Organism: Melanotaenia boesemani (Boeseman's rainbowfish)
Lineage: Eukaryota; Metazoa; Chordata; Actinopteri; Atheriniformes; Melanotaeniidae
Exons: 3
Source: RefSeq, a predicted model, not a curated record
CAAAGUUUAUCCCAUACAAUUCGGUCUCUGAACGGGUCUUCCUUCGUUCGUUCACAGCUCAAGCUGCAUCAAGCUCAGCAGUACGUUCGCUCUCGGCUUGGUCUCUUGUUCAUUUGUUACGUGAUAGCUACCGAGUCACUGUUGCGCUGU